CCUACGGGAGGCAGCAGUGAGGAAUAUUGGUCAAUGGACGAGAGUCUGAACCAGCCAAGUAGCGUGAAGGAUGACUGCCCUAUGGGUUGUAAACUUCUUUUAUAAAGGAAUAAAACGAGGCACGUGUGCCUUUUUGCAUGUACCUUAUGAAUAAGGAUCGGCUAACUCCGUGCCAGCAGCCGCGGUAAUACGGAGGAUCCGAGCGUUAUCCGGAUUUAUUGGGUUUAAAGGGAGCGUAGAUGGGUUGUUAAGUCAGUUGUGAAAGUUUGCGGCUCAACCGUAAAAUGGCAAUUGAUACUGGCAGUCUUGAGUACAGUUGAGGUAGGCGGAAUGCGUGGUGUAGCGGUGAAAUGCUUAGAUAUCACGAAGAACCCCGAUUGCGAAGGCAGCUUACUAAACUGUGACUGACAUUGAUGCUCGAAAGUGUGGGUAUCGAACAGGAUUAGAUACCCCAGUAGUC
RNAcentral lists this ribosomal RNA (460 nucleotides) under uncultured bacterium. RNAcentral's name for it is "partial 16S ribosomal RNA". It matches the Rfam family "Bacterial small subunit ribosomal RNA", at positions 338 to 795 of the family's 1533-position model. The record is from RNAcentral.